GCCAUUGAAGAGCUGACUGCCAGUGGGGAAGGAUUUCUUUUGGGGAUUGCUCCUCUUGGGGUCUUCUCAGCAAGCCCAGGACAAGGGAACAGAAGAAAAUCUGCACGCAACCUCUUCACCUUUGCCCUGCCCCUCUGCAGCUGUGUCUGUAUGGACAUAUGGAGCAUUAAGGUUGGACAGGAACUCCUCUGGGCUCUGCGUUCUGACCAAGUCUUUAAUGACUGGACGUUCAGUUUGCCAGAAUUGCAUCUCAAGAUGUGGCCAGGACUGGUUUCAGUCCAUGGGCUGAAGACUCAGUUCCCCAAGGAGAGCCCCAAUACUCUGCAUGAUCUUCAUGCCACCGUUGUUUACUCUCGUAAUACUGCGUAGGCUUUAUGCCAGCGAGGAGAUGAGGUGGGAAGGAAGGUUUACCUGGCCGACCACCAGAAGAGCUGAGGACCUGCACAAUGGGGGUCCUGGGCCCUGCCUUCUCAGGAGCUGGAAGAGCAGUGCUCAUGUCAUUAAGAGCACUGAACUUUUGAAGGUGAGUCUCCAUGGCCUGUCAGCAAUGUUCAUGAAGGAACCAGUGCAAUGCAGCCAUGCAGGAGAUGAUGGUACCUGUAUUCACACUUCCAUAGAAACAGAAUAGCACAGAGCAAGAGCAUUUGAUUAAAAAUGCAAAUUGUCUGUGGUCAGAACGAUCUGAUGUGGAAAUAAAUUGAAGAAUCACAUGAUUUUGCUUAUGUCUGUGACCUACUGAAGUGCAAAGAUAUGAACACAUACUUUUUAUUAUAGACAAAUGGAAACAGCUUGAUACACUGUGAAUCAGUCAUGUUCUUUAAAGUUCAAAUCUGUUUUCUGCUGAAAAUUUAUUAGUUCUUACAGCAAUAAACACUACUCUUUGACAUUUCUAGCUGCUAGACAAGAGAAUGAGUUGGACAAAAGGAAAUCAUAGUCAACAAGAAAUGUAAUAUAGCACUGACACUACUCUCAUGGUUCCUAGAACAGUUGCAAGCAUUCAUAAAUGAGAGCACACGUGUACUGGGCUUGAAAAGCAUGAGACACUCCGCCUAAGACUAAGCAAGUAUCAGAAGGUUGCACUUGCCCCUGAGGAAUUUGCUCCAGCCCAUUCUUGUUCUUGCUGUGAAGUGAAUGAGGCCUCGUUAAGGCAGUUGUGGAGUCAGGUAAAGCAGCCCCUCCCCUGGCUGCUGCCCCCAUAGCUCAGCAUUCAGGGUCUGCUUGCCUCCUCCCAGCCCUGUGGAGUUGCUGCUUGCUGGCACGCGGCCGUGGCCAUGAGCAAUUGAUUCUGCACCCUUAGACCCCAGGUGCUCUGAGAUACCUCAGUUGUGGCUGUAAAUGAGAAUUUCUCAAUGGUCCCCAAUAGUCAGACGUCAUGCUUCUGACAGAUAAUGAUUAUUCCCCAAAUUACAUUAAGUAGAAGAGUUGAAGUGUCUUUUGUGUAUCUUGUCACGCUCUAUUAACUGAAAAAGACAACAGGAAAAAAAACCAACUGCCCAAAUAUUAACCAUUAUCCAUCAGCACAGAUUAUUAGCACCAAGCUUCAUUGUGCAAAUGCCUCCUAAUAAAACAGCAACGUUCCUUAUGUGAGACCUCACCUUCGUCUUUAUGCAUUCUAUAGCUGUGCAGAUCGCCUUGCUUCAGUUGUCAAAGCUAACCAGUGCCCCACCUUCUGCUAAAAGCAUGCUUUUUAAGUAAUACUUUGAUAGGCAUUUGUCUUAUGUAAGCUUCACCCUUCCAUGCAAAGAUCAAAAGCAGUGCGCUGACGAAGGAUUUGUCUGAAAUCAAAGAAAUACUCUGGCUCUCUGCUAAGUAGCUUAUUCUGA
Molecule: non-coding RNA, 1823 nt
Organism: Meleagris gallopavo (turkey)
Lineage: Eukaryota; Metazoa; Chordata; Aves; Galliformes; Phasianidae
Source: RefSeq, a predicted model, not a curated record